GUUGACAUAUGUUCCCUGCUGGUCAGAAAUACUAUACUUCUGUGAAAGGUUGAUUCAGGAAAUAAUCCCAGUUCAAAAGAGCUUUGUGGUUCACUUGACUCCAGGCACACAGUGUAUUGAAGAGAAUCAGAAGUCCUGGUGGAACUGAAGCCUGCACAUAACACAAGGCAUCAUGAUAUCAUGGCAGAAGGGCAUGGAAGAGCAAAAUAGCUCACUUCAUACUAGCCAGGAAACAGAAAGAGAGAGAGAAGGAAUUGAGGGACAGGAAGGAGAAGGAGAGGAAGCAGAGAGGGAAAGAAGAAGAAGGGAAGACCAGCACCAGACACCCUUCAAAUGCAAGCCCUCAAUAAUCUACUUCAUCUAGGCCUCACCUUGUUACAUUUCCACCACUCCCAAAACAGCUCCUCUUCUUGGGAACCAAGUCUUCAACAUAUUGUGGGGAGUAUUUUAUGUUCAAUCUGUAACAUUCUGUUCCCAACUCCCAAAGGCUCGUGGCCAUCUCAUAAUAUAAAAUGUACUUAGUACAUCUUGAAGAGUCCUUAAAUUGUAACUAUUCCAGUGUUGUUCAAUAGUCGAAGUUGAGCUGGAGGUGUGGUUCAGCAGUAAGAAUGACUGCCUACCCAGCAGAAGACUGAGUUCAAACCUCAGUC
Long non-coding RNA from Dipodomys ordii (Ord's kangaroo rat), 650 nucleotides. RefSeq lists it as uncharacterized. The record is from RefSeq and is a predicted model, not a curated record. The transcript has 3 exons. Lineage: Eukaryota; Metazoa; Chordata; Mammalia; Rodentia; Heteromyidae.